CCUACGGGAGGCAGCAGUGAGGAAUAUUGGUCAAUGGACGAGAGUCUGAACCAGCCAAGUAGCGUGAAGGAUGACUGCCCUAUGGGUUGUAAACUUCUUUUAUAUGGGAAUAAAAUGUUCCACGUGUGGGAUUUUGUAUGUCCCAUAUGAAUAAGGAUCGGCUAACUCCGUGCCAGCAGCCGCGGUAAUACGGAGGAUCCGAGCGUUAUCCGGAUUUAUUGGGUUUAAAGGGAGCGUAGGUGGAUUGUUAAGUCAGUUGUGAAAGUUUGCGGCUCAACCGUAAAAUUGCAGUUGAAACUGGCAGUCUUGAGUACAGUAGAGGUGGGCGGAAUUCGUGGUGUAGCGGUGAAAUGCUUAGAUAUCACGAAGAACUCCGAUUGCGAAGGCAGUUCACUGGACUGCAACUGACACUGAGGCUCGAAAGUGUGGGUAUCAAACAGGAUUAGAUACCCGUGUAGUC
This 460-nucleotide ribosomal RNA is filed under the name uncultured bacterium. RNAcentral's name for it is "partial 16S ribosomal RNA". It matches the Rfam family "Bacterial small subunit ribosomal RNA", at positions 338 to 795 of the family's 1533-position model. The record is from RNAcentral.